RNAcentral lists this ribosomal RNA (549 nucleotides) under uncultured bacterium. RNAcentral describes it as "bacterial SSU rRNA". It matches the Rfam family "Bacterial small subunit ribosomal RNA", at positions 42 to 571 of the family's 1533-position model. The record is from RNAcentral.
GCGCGCCUAACGCAUGCAAGUCGCACGAGAAAGGGCUUCGGCCCCGGUACAGUGGCGCACGGGUGAGUAACACGUGGGUAAUGUUCCCUCAGGCGGGGGAUAACCUUCCGAAAGGAGGGCUAAUACCGCAUAAGACCACGGCCUCGAAAGGGGCUGCGGUAAAAGCAGGCCUCUACAUGUAAGCUUGCACCAGAGGAUCAGCCCGCGGCCCAUCAGCUAAUUGGUAGGGUAACGGCCUACCAAGGCUAAGACGGGUAGCUGGUCUGAGAGGAUGAUCAGCCACACUGGAACUGAGACACGGUCCAGACUCCUACGGGAGGCAGCAGUGGGGAAUCUUGCGCAAUGGACGAAAGUCUGACGCAGCGACGCCGCGUGGGUGAUGAAGGCCUUCGGGUUGUAAAGCCCUGUGGGGAGAGACGAAUAAGUCGGAGCUAAUACCUCCGGCGAUGACGGUAUCUCCUUAGCAAGCACCGGCUAACUCUGUGCCAGCAGCCGCGGUAAGACAGAGGGUGCAAACGUUGUUCGGAAUUACUGGGCGUAAAGCGUGUG